CAAAGGAAGCGAUUCCGGCAACGGAUGGGCAUGCGUGACAUUAGCUAGUUGGCGGGGCAACGGCCCACCAAGGCGACGAUGUCUAGGGGUUCUGAGAGGAAGGUCCCCCACACUGGUACUGAGACACGGACCAGACUCCUACGGGAGGCAGCAGUGAGGAAUAUUGGUCAAUGGGCGCGAGCCUGAACCAGCCAAGUCGCGUGAGGGAUGACGGCCCUACGGGUUGUAAACCUCUUUUGUCGGGGAGCAAAUUCCGCCACGUGUGGCGGAGUCGAGAGUACCCGAAGAAAAAGCAUCGGCUAACUCCGUGCCAGCAGCCGCGGUAAUACGGAGGAUGCGAGCGUUAUCCGGAUUUAUUGGGUUUAAAGGGUGCGUAGGCGGACUGUCAAGUCAGCGGUAAAAUACGGGGGCUCAACCUCCGCCCGCCGUUGAAACUGACGGUCUUGAGUGGGCGAGAAGUAUGCGGAAUGCGUGGUGUAGCGGUGAAAUGCAUAGAUAUCACGCAGAACUCCGAUUGCGAAGGCAGCAUACCGGCGCCCAACUGACGCUGAAGCACGAAAGCGUGGGUAUCGAACAGGAUUAGAUACCCUGGUAGUCCACGCAGUAAACGAUGAAUACUAGCUGUCCGGGGCGAAUGGGCCCUGG
RNAcentral lists this ribosomal RNA (645 nucleotides) under uncultured bacterium. Its description in RNAcentral is "bacterial SSU rRNA". It matches the Rfam family "Bacterial small subunit ribosomal RNA", at positions 202 to 842 of the family's 1533-position model. The record is from RNAcentral.